This 265-nucleotide ribosomal RNA is filed under the name uncultured Bacteroides sp. RNAcentral describes it as "partial 16S ribosomal RNA". It matches the Rfam family "Bacterial small subunit ribosomal RNA", at positions 75 to 339 of the family's 1533-position model. The record is from RNAcentral. Lineage: Bacteria; Pseudomonadati; Bacteroidota; Bacteroidia; Bacteroidales; Bacteroidaceae.
CUUGCAAACUGGAGAUGGCGACCGGCGCACGGGUGAGUAACACGUAUCCAACCUGCCGUCUACUCUUGGACAGCCUUCUGAAAGGAAGAUUAAUACAAGAUGGCAUCAUGAGUUCACAUGUUCACAUGAUUAAAGGUAUUCCGGUAGACGAUGGGGAUGCGUUCCAUUAGAUAGUAGGCGGGGUAACGGCCCACCAAGGCAACGAUGGGUAGCCGGUCUGAGAGGAUGACCGGCCACAUUGGAACUGAGACACGGUCCAAACUCC